CUGCUGCCCGGCCAGCGGGCCAAAUGGCCACACGGGAAGGAGGGACAGAGGAGAAAAUAGUAGGCAAAGUGUUGGCGUGAGGCAGGUGGUGGAUGAGGCAGUCGCAAAGAGAAAGGAUUGCAACAUCAGGGAGGAGAUGAAAGGCCUCAUAUCAUUUUGCAGCCAACAAGAAACCUGAAGGAACUAAGUUUGGCUCUAUUUCUACAGCUUGUGAAAAGCUGAGAAUGGAAGCAAUGACUGGGCUAAUUCUGGACAAAAUUUUUUAAAAUGAUUUUUGUCAGAGGAGCCCAGAUCUUUGCCUCAAUUCUUUGCUUUUGUCUAAAUUGCUCAUUUUUCCAAAUUUCUGUAAGUAAUUUUUUAGGUGAUGUGAAUUGAUUUGCCUUUGGUAUACCGGACAAGAUUUUAUUUUAUUUUAUUAUUUUAUUUUUGAGACGGAGUUUCGCUCUUGUUGCCCAGACUGGAGUGCAGUGGUGUGAUCUCAACUCACUACAACCUCUGCCUCCCGGGUUCAAGCGAUUCUCCUGCCUCAGCCUCCUGAGUAGCCGGGAUUACAGGUGCCCGCCACCACACCGAGCUAAUUUUUGUAUUUUUAGUAGAGAUGGGGUUUCACCACGUUGGCCAGGCUGGUCUCAAACUCCUGACCUCAGGUGAUCCAUCUGCCUCAGCCUCCCAAAGUGCUGGGAUUACAGGUGUUAGCCACCGUGCCCAGCCUGGACAAGAUUAUUUGAGACAUCUCUGGUGGCCUAAAUCGUGAAGGGUUUGCCCCCUGUUUCCUUUUGUCCACUUUCCUCAUAGUGCCAUUUUGUUUUGUGCCUUCACUCAGCCUGAACUGGCUGGUGAAAGUGGCACAGCCAACUGUUGCCAGACAGUGAUGUCCUGUCAAAUUCCUGUACCUGCAUGGGUACGUUCUCAUGUUCUCUGAAAUAUUAUUCCUUUCCCUUAACAGAGCUCACCAGACAAGAAACAGAAAAGUGUUUUGAGUACUUUGAAUCAAAAGUGGUCUCUGAAUUUAAGGCAUUUUUAUUAUUUUAUGUGUUAUUUGUAGUUCAAAAGGGUCUUCCUAUUCAUCAUAGUAUUAGAGGCAUUUGAUGGAAAAGUAGUGUGCCAAGGUGAUUAGUGACAACAACAACAAAAGCAACUUAUUUUUGAGCCUGUGAAAGGCCCUCUUCUAGACACUUUAUACAACAGCUGUAUCCUUAUUGAUAGCCCUGCAAGAAAAGCUAUUUUCCAAGAAGAAAAAGAAAAUGGAAGUACAAAUUUCCAACAGCACACAUUUUCUCUGCUCUCUCCUUGGCUCUGAAAGAGGAUGCGUGAAACAGAAUUUCAGGCUGUAAUUAAUGCAGCUCUUCAUAAGAUAAGAGGUUCUUUUAUCUACAGAAAAAUUGCUGCACUAAUUCCCAACAAGAAGUGCAAUGCUCCGGUUAAUGCUCUUUCUACAAGAAGAAUUCACCUUUUCUACCCUCUACAUAUUUACAGACAAAUUUGAAUAUUUUGUUAUGGGAAACUGAAGAUGGGUAAACAUACAAUGAUAAUAGUACUUUAUAGGGCUAAAUCUAAAAGCCUUAAAGAUUAAUAUUAUGUUUGGAUAAAUGCUGAAUAAGUUUACAUAAAGAAUUUUCAAAUAACAUUGACGCUACAGGCAUGUACUUGUAAGCACAGACCUUAAUUGGGCACAACUUAGAUCCAGCACUCUUUGAGGGGGAGAAUAAACAAAUUGGGAAAUGCAUCCUCAUUUGAUACAGUGAGGAAAAAGAGCUAUGGUUCCUUGCUCUGCUUUAAAGUACUGUCCAAAGAAGGAUGAAGCCCCGCUAUUUCAUUUUGAUUUAAAUAUUUCCUUGUAGAAUGCACAUUCCAAUUUGGAAACAAUACUUUCUAUAUGUAUGUUUCAUGUAUGUGCUUGGAAUAAUUGGUAAUGUGUUGGCACUGUGUUCCACUUAAAUGCAUGGCAUUUGUAUACUAUUUAAUGUUUUGUUGUUGUUGUUGUUUUUGAGAUGGAGUCUCAGUCUGUUGCCCAGGCUGGAGUGCAAUGGUGUGAUCUAGGCUCACUGCAACCUCUGCCUCCCGGGUUCAAGCAAUUCUCCUGCCUCAGCCUCCUGAGUAACUGGGAUUACAGGCGCCUGCCACCACGCCUGGCUAAUUUUUUUUUUUUUUUUUUUUUUUUUUUUUUUUUUUUUUUUUAGUAGAGAUGGGGUUUCUCCAUGUUGGCCAGACUGGUCUUGAACUCCUGAACUCAGGUGAUCCACACACCUUGGCCUCCCAAAGUGCUGGGAUUACAGGCGUGAGCCACUGCACCGGCCUUUUAAUGUUUUCUUAAAAACCAGUUUUCUAAGAAAAAAAGAAGAAUGGGAAUACAGCAAAUGAGUAGAAGACAGAGAUCACAAGAAUCGUGCCUGAGGUCCUGGCAAAGAAGACCCCACUGUAAGGCAGAAUGGCACCUCUGAUUCAUUGGCCCCUUUGUAUUGUUCUCAAUUUCUAUAUCCAUAAAUAAUAAGAUUUUCAUUCCCUUCCUUCCACUCUGUGAGGUGGAUGUGAAAUAGGUAGAGAGGUUUGUCACUGGGUGCAAGGCUAAGAUGCUCAGUUAAAGCAGGAAAUUACGUUGUUUGGCUGAGAAAUACGUGUAAUUUCUAAGUGUGAUUAUUGCAAGUAAAAAUGAGUGAUGUUUCAACAAGAGGGUUAUUGUAAUUCAGGGUAUAGCAACAAUUUUAAUGUAAGCGAGAAGAUGUUUGUAACACUUCCAAAAAAAUAGUACUGUAUCAGUCCAGUGUCCACUUUCCUCCAAACCUUCGUGCCCACGCACACACACAUAAAUACAUGCAGGAUUCCUGAGCAGGGAAGGAUCCUUUCUCACGUGUUCACAAAGAGACUUUUAAGCUCAGAACCUCUUGAGGGUGAGAAACUUUUCUUGGCAGACUAUCAACUGGUUCUGAGUGAACAAAUCCGACAGAGCCCUUUUCCUUGCUUCUUUUUGUUCAUAUUGUUCACCCUCUCACAGCAAGGAAGGCUGCUAGGUAGAGUAAGGGGACUCUCAAAGGAGAUGAAGGUAAAUUUUUCUGGAAUAGCUGCAGAGCAAUUCUAAUGCUUCAGUUAAUCUGUUACCUCUUUCCUUGCCCCUAGCCUUCAGUUUUCCUUUUGUAUCCUGAAAAUAACAUUGACAUUAAAUUGGGUCAGUGGAAAAAAAUCAGUCACCAACUGUUGCUUAUAAUUUUGCCCCCAAGAAAACAUUUGGUAACUAACCCUUAUCUAGAGUACACACUAUGCACAGCUCCUAGGGUGAUAUUUGAAUCUAUUCACCUUAGGGAAAGUUGUUGAUUCUUUUAGACUCAAAUUUCCACAAUCAGAAAAUUCACCUAAUGCCUUUCUAAUGUGUUAUGCUUCACAGAAGGAGUUUAAGAUCAGUGUAAAUAGAUAUACACCCAAUAGAAGUCAUUGCAAUAUACACGAGCAGACAUGUCCAAGUAUGCUUAUAGUUGCACUAUUCAAAUCAACCUAAACUACUUGAAAUUAAACGGCGAUUGACAGGAAAAUAAAAUGUGGCAUUCAAACAUGGAAUUCUAUAAGGCAGCAAAAAUGAACGGACUACAGCUACAUACAAUACAGAUGAAUCUUAAAAACAUAAUGCAUGAAAACAUAAGUUUCAAAGAUUACUAAUAACAUAAAACCCCCUCUACAUAAAAAAGUAACUUAAGGCCAGGCACAGUGGCUCAUGCCUGUAAUCCCAGUGCUUUGGGAGACCGAGGUGGGCGAAUCACCUGAGGUCAGGAGUUCAAGACCAGCCUGGCCAACAUUGUGCAACCCCGUCUCUACUAAAAACACAAAAAUUAGCCAGGUAUGGUGUUGCAUGCCUGUAAUCUCAGCUACUCAGGAGGCUGAGGCAGGAGAAUUGCUUGAACCCAGGAGGCAGAGGUUGCAGUGAGCCGGGAUCACGCCACUGCACUCCAGCCUUGGCAACAGAGUGAGACUCCAUCUAAAAAAAAAAAAAAAAGUAACUUAAAAAAUUAUUUAGUAGGUAUACCUACAGUGAUAAAACUACAUAAAAAUCCUAAGAGUAGUACUUACACUGGGGGUGGGAAGGCAGGGACAGGAAGAGGGAGAGUAGUACACAGGUGGAUUAUUGUCAGUGUUUCAAACAAACAUUUGUUCAUGUUAACUCAUUAUAUUAUUGAACAUUAAUAAUCAAAGGACCAUGCAUAAGGAAAAAACUGACACGGAAUAUCAAAGUAUUGGCAGAGAAAAACCAUGAUGAGUAUAUAGUGAUGUUCACAGUGAAAUGCCAUAGGAUACUCAGUUUUGUGCAAAAUAAAUAACAAAACUCAGAACUCAUCAUAAGGGAACAUGCCACAGAAUCUGACUCUGGCCACCUCUAAUCGUUCCUCAUGUCUGCUUUUUCAUUUGUUUGUUUGUUUUGAGACAGAGCCUUGCUCUGUUGCCCAGGCUGGAGUGCAGUGGCACGAUCCUGGCUCACUGCAACCUCUGCCUCCUGGGUUCAAGUGAUUUUCCUGCCUCAGCCUCCCAAGUAGCUGGGAUUACAGACGUGCACCACCACACCUGGUUAUUGUAUUCUUAGUAGAGACAGGGUUUCACCAUGUUGGCCAAGCUGUUUUCAAACUCCUGGCCUCAAGUGAUCCACCCACCUCAACCCCACAAAGUGCCUGUAACCACUGCACGAGGACUCCUCACGUCUGUUUGAUCCUUACCUGACUUCUUUGGGAACCAUCUUCCUUCUAGUUUGAAUCCCUAAUUGUAGAUAUUUCCUGUGACUUUAUCUUUGCUCCUCUUUUUUCUUCCCUAUAUAAUCUCUCACUGGAAGAGCACAACCACUCCCAUGGCUCCAACUGCCUUUCAGAUGCUCCCAAAUCCAUCCAUCCAACAUUGAUCUCCCACGGGUAGCAUUAAACCAACUGCUUCCAGGGUAAAUCCUCUAGGAUUCUAGCUAUUUUCUUUUUUCUUUUCUUUUUUUUUUUUUUUUUUUUUUUGAGACGGAGUCUCGAUCUGUCGCCCAGGCAGGGUGACCAGGAACUAGUCACUCAAGCUCUCUGUUAAUUUCCUCAUCUCUGAAAAGCGGUGUCUAUAGAUAUCAUUUCUAAGCUCCUGUUUCUAAAUUUCUAUGAAUUCAUGAAUUAUUGACUCUUCUUGACAUUAGCUAUUUGUCCAGGAUAUCACUAUUAUUCUAGGCUUAUCUUUGACUUAUUUCUAUUUUUGUGUGCUGAUUCCUAAUCUGAUGCCAAAUUUUGUCAUUUCUCUUAUUGAAAUGUCUCUCAAAUUUACCCCAUUUUAUCCAUUUCCUUGGUUUUCCCUUAGUCCUGGACCUAAUAAGUUUAGACUUAGAUUACUUGAAAGGUGUCCAGACAGGUUUCCCUGCUUCCUGUCCCCUCCUUCAUUCAAGUCCUCUGACACACCACUUCUAGAUUAUUCAUGAAAAUAUAAUAAAAAUUGUCACACCCACUUAAGAGCAUUCUUAUUUAAUUCUGUGUUAUCUACUAAAGCAAUUCCAAUAUCUCUGGCUAGUUUAAGACCCUCCAUGACUCCAUGUGACUGAUCUCUCCAGCUUUCUUACCACUCCUCAGCACUUAAACUGCAUUGAAACGAGUGUCAUUGAAGUCACACAAGCAUGUACCUAAACUCCAGCUUCUAAGCCUUUAUCCAUGCCAAUUCCUCAAACUAAAAUGUUCUCUUUCUCUUUUUUCCCAAAGAUGUGCAUUUUUCAAGGACCAACUAAAAUUCCACCUAUUUAGAGCUUUCUCUAGCAUUUCAAGUCUCUGUUAAACUUUCUUCUCACCUAAAUACAACAGCAGCUAAAACUCGAUGAUGGACAAUUGAUUAUUGCUUCUUAAUUUUUCAAAGCAUUGUUUGUUUUAAUCUCCCAACCAAAUUAAAAUAUUCCUAAAGGCAGAAAUCAUGUCUCAAAUCUUUCUUAUAGUUUCCUUUCUUAUGGUUUCUUAUUCAUUGAAUAAAUAUUAAUCUCAAGUGCUGAAAGUGUGUACAUCCUAAAUAAAAUCAGUAUCUAUGAGGAUAUGUUCAAUUUAACCUUUAUUGAGCACUACUUUUAUAAGGGUCUGUGAUAGUCAUGAGGGACUUGAAACUUGAAUACAUAAUUCUCCUUGAGAAGCUCAGACUCUUUUAAAUUUGGAGUAAUACAUUCUACUACCUGU
Molecule: long non-coding RNA, 6149 nt
Filed under: Homo sapiens (human)
Lineage: Eukaryota; Metazoa; Chordata; Mammalia; Primates; Hominidae
Description: non-protein coding lnc-SCLT1-8:1
Source: RNAcentral